GACAGAGGGGGCAAGCGUUGCUCGGAAUUACUGGGCGUAAAGGGCGCGUAGGCGGGAUGGCAAGUCGGUCGUGAAAUCCUUCGGCUCAACCGAAGAACGUCGAUCGAUACUGCUGUUCUUGAGGGUUGCAGAGGAGACUGGAAUUCCCGGUGUAGCGGUGAAAUGUGUAGAGAUCGGGAGGAACACCGGUGGCGAAGGCGGGUCUCUGGGCCAUUACUGACGCUGAGGAGCGAAAGCGUGGGGAGCGAACAGG
Molecule: ribosomal RNA, 253 nt
Filed under: uncultured bacterium
Lineage: Bacteria
Description: partial 16S ribosomal RNA
Rfam family: Bacterial small subunit ribosomal RNA
Source: RNAcentral